GAGUUUGAUCCUGGCUCAGAACGAACGCUGGCGGCGUGCCUAACACAUGCAAGUCGAACGUGAUCCAGAGCUUGCUCUGGUGAAAGUGGCGCACGGGUGAGUAACGCGUGGAUAACCUACCCUGGUAUCCGGGAUAACAUUCCGAAAGGGGUGCUAAUACCGGAUAAGCCCACGGGCUCUUUGGAGCUUGCGGGAAAAGGUGGCCUCUAUUUAUAAGCUACUGUAUCAGGAUGGGUCCGCGUACCAUUAGCUAGUUGGCGGUGUAACGGACCACCAAGGCGACGAUGGUUAGCUGGUCUGAGAGGAUGAUCAGCCACACUGGAACUGAGACACGGUCCAGACUCCUACGGGAGGCAGCAGUGGGGAAUUUUGCGCAAUGGGGGAAACCCUGACGCGGCAACGCCGCGUGAGUGAUGAAGGCCUUUGGGUCGUAAAGCUCUGUCAGAGGGGAAGAAAUGAUAUAGUGCUAAUACCACUUUAUCUUGACGGUACCCUCAAAGGAAGCACCGGCUAACUCCGUGCCAGCAGCCGCGGUAAUAC
RNAcentral lists this ribosomal RNA (540 nucleotides) under uncultured Geobacteraceae bacterium. RNAcentral's name for it is "bacterial SSU rRNA". It matches the Rfam family "Bacterial small subunit ribosomal RNA", at positions 9 to 526 of the family's 1533-position model. Lineage: Bacteria; Pseudomonadati; Thermodesulfobacteriota; Desulfuromonadia; Geobacterales; Geobacteraceae. The record is from RNAcentral.